CCGGUAAUUAAAAAUAAGUUUAUUUUUGGUAGUAUAUGUUUACAUGUCGCCACUGAAACCUUGACUGAAAUCUUUUUCCGAUGAGAAGCUUGCAAAGGUAGUUAACUUUACAGUCUCAAAUCAAGUCUUAAAAUUCUUCAAUUUUUUUUUAUAUUUUUCAUGUUCGUUUUGUGGUUUUACGGUUUAUGUUCGGAGUUUGUAGUUUUCUUUCUUAACAAUAUUAUCUUCAAGGUUUGAACUUAAAUUCUUACUGUAAAAGUACAGCGUUCCAUACCAUUACACUCAAGUUUGCCUAAUAUGCUUCAUUUUAUACACAAAGUACACACUCAAACCUCAGCAGUUGAGUUUUGUUAUGAUAUUCAGAUUUAAAAGGAUAACAGCAGCUUGAUUACAUAUAUAGUGGAUUUUCUAUAUAAAGAGAGAGAGAAGGGUAGAUAUAUCUAAAGUAAUCGAAGUUUGAUUUUGCCUGGGUAACACUCCAAAGCAUAAGUCACAAGCUUGUCGAGCUCGUCAUUGACGUUGAUAAACCCAUCGUGGUUUUCGUCAGCCAUCUGAAACGCACGAUGGGUUCUAUAAAGCGGAAAACGAGAUUGAAGCCUUCGGAAACCUGCCUUCACCUCUUCCCAGCUCAGCUUUCCGUCGUUGUUGACGUCGCAACGCUUGAAUAGCUUCAUUAAUUCAUCGUAAUCUUCUUUCGGUAUAUCCUUGGUCUUUGUUUCUGCUUUUUUAAUAUUGAAGAAAUGCACCAUUUUUUUUUCUCUCUUGUGCAGCAAGUAAAAGAGAAAGAUCAGAUGAAUGUUUGAAAUUCCACCUUCUUUGAUUGAAGUUCAAAAUGG
Molecule: long non-coding RNA, 836 nt
Filed under: Gossypium raimondii (Peruvian cotton)
Lineage: Eukaryota; Viridiplantae; Streptophyta; Magnoliopsida; Malvales; Malvaceae
Description: long non-coding RNA (GRAI_LNC007166)
Source: RNAcentral